Long non-coding RNA from Hibiscus syriacus, 330 nucleotides. RefSeq lists it as uncharacterized. The transcript has 3 exons. The record is from RefSeq and is a predicted model, not a curated record. NCBI's taxonomy places the organism in Eukaryota, Viridiplantae, Streptophyta, Magnoliopsida, Malvales, Malvaceae.
UUGGUAUGUAUCCUGUGGUCUCUUUACUGUGAUAUGGAAACUUGCCGUAGCACUUCUUGCCAUUCUCCUUCAUGUAAGUUUUAGAACACCAAACCUGAAGGCUCGUCUUAACACUUUUCGUGAGGAGUUUUGUGCAGUUUGGCGCAAUUACAGUGAGCUAUGAGCUCACAGUCUAUAUCAUCUUCAACAGCCCUUCUCUAAUUGAUUUGUGUUAGUACAAGUUCAUCGAGUUCCAUUUUAUGAUCCUGAUGGUCGAUGUUCGAUUUCAUGCUGCUGUUGAAGAUUCUGCGAAAUAAUUUCUUUAGCUGGGUUAAGAUGAAGAAGGCUUCC